Molecule: antisense RNA, 3260 nt
Filed under: Pongo abelii (Sumatran orangutan)
Lineage: Eukaryota; Metazoa; Chordata; Mammalia; Primates; Hominidae
Rfam family: FAM13A antisense RNA 1 conserved region 1 (bases 355-473)
Source: RNAcentral
UGAAAACUUUCAGAUGCUUCUUCAUUGUUUUAGUCAUUUACCACUUUAAUGAAUCUGGCAACUUUAUUGUGGUGAGUGGGGAUCAAUGACAGUGUAAUGAGGCAAUUAGCAAAUUCUGAUAGUUCCAUCUACUCCAUAUGAAAGUCUCUUGAUGUUUUAUAUGGUACUCUUAUUAAUAAUCCCAGAGAGCAGGGGUUGGCAAACUAUGGCCCAUGGGCUAAAAUGGUUUUUACGUUUUAAAAGGGUUGAAAACUUUAAAAAUGGAAGGAUACAUGACAGAGACUGGAUGGCCUACAAUGCCUAACAUAUUAUGUAGCCCUUUACAGAAAAAAACUUACCAAUCCUUAUGAGACCAGACUUGCAAAAAUCACAGUAACAGAGUGAAAAACCUUCUUGAAGUGUUAGGAGGAACUUGAGUCAUAAUUUGAUGUUGAAUCAGAGAGAACAACUGUUUGGGCUUAUUUGCCUCAGAGUAUUUGCCCAGCCUCUGGUAACUAUCAUUCUAUUCUCUACCUCCAUGAGAGCAACUUUCUUAGCUCCCACAUAUGAAUGAGAACAUGCAAUAUUUGUCUUUCUGUGCCUGGCUUAUUUCAGUUAACAUCGUGACCUCCAGUUCCAUCCAUGUUGCUGCAAAUGGGAUUCAGAAUGUGUUGCUGGACUUCAAGAUAGGAAGAAUCUUUGCCUUGAUGGCUGAUGAUAGUAACCACCCCACCUACCAUCAUCUAUUAAGGAUUUACUGUGUGGUCACUUUACAGUCAUCCAAGUAAAUUUUCAUAAUCACCUGAUUACAUGGGUACCGCUUUUCAGAAAAAGAAACAGAUUUCUGGAGGGAUUCAGAAUCCAUGGCUACAAGAGGUAGUAAGGCCACUGGGAGGGCCUGCCUCUCCUCAGCCCACCCCCACCCCGUGUGGGUCUCCAUUCUGAAAUUUCCAUUCAGAUGACCCGGUCCUAGGCAGGGACCAAAAUUCCUUGUCAGCUGAGGAAGUCCUGAAGAAACACCCUGAAGAUGAUGACUGCACUGCCAUCGUGGGCAGAUGCAGCUUCCAUCUACCUGAGGGCUGAAGGGGAAAACCUUUCACACAUGUGAGGAAGGCGCAGCUCUGUGGAAAGGUCACUAGAAUGGCAGCGGCAGCAAAUAGGGCUCCAAUGCACGUUUGCACUUAACUGGGUCCAAGGAGAGCAUGGCCCUCCACAGCAAGUUUGCUCUAUAGAAUAAAGUCCUGAGCUUGUUUUUGUCACAGUUAGACAGAGAAUGGUCUCAUGUUUCUCAGUUAUCCAGGGAAGAACAGUGUAUAUUCUCUGUAGAUGAGUGUUGUCUAAUGUAGUGAUUCAUCUCUGCUAGUGUUAGGAAAGCUCCACUACUGUGUGUGUGUGUGUGUGUGUGUGUGUGUGUGUGUGUGUGUGUGUGUGUGUGUGUGUGUGUGUGUGUGUGUGUGUGUGUGCGCGCGCGCGCAUGUGCACAUACUGCAAUCUUGACUUUCCAAUUACAAAAUGCCUAAGUCAGGUCACAUUGUCUUCUUCCAGCCAGUUUCUAAGGCAGGCAAUGGAAACAGGAGCCGAUGCCAAAUGGUCUAGAGGCAGAAGGGCUGCAUGCUUUGCAGGGCCAGCCCCAAGGCUGCCUUCCAGAGCUGCACUUUCUCUGGAGACAGUAAACUCUCACCACAGCUGCCAGCCCCCUGUGCUUGGCCAUGCCCCUCACAUGGACUUGGAAUCAGUGUCUCUCUUGCUGAUGAGCACCUCCAGGAGCCUCAGUUUCGCCUUUAUGUGCUUAUAUUCACUGUAUUCUUCAGCCAUAGGAGUGCGGUCUUCCUUCUGGACAUUUCUAAUGCAAAUAAAGGAAAAAGGGGUCUGAGGAUCAUUUUCUGUCUUUGCUAGAUACUAUUCAUCGGGCAAAUUAUCAUUGUGUAGAAACUUUGCAGUUUAUCAACUUUUAGAAUCAGUGUUGCCGAGUGGCCCUUGGUCUCAAGACUGGGGCUGGAUUUAGACAAGUAAUGAAAAUGUUUCACCCAGAAGGCAACAUGCAACUGAGUUUUUAUAUAGUUAAUCUGGCAUCUGGUAUGAUAAGAAGGCUAAGAAAUGCAGAAAUUCUCUCUGCUACGUAUGAAUUCACAUUGAGCUCUCAUACACCAAAAUCCUUUAUUCAUACUUAAUGUUUUCUCAUUCUUAUAUAUUUAAUCUUGUGAAAUUUUAAAUUUUUAAUUAGCAACUAACUGGUCCACCCACAACUUAUUUUUGUUUUUCCAAAACCAGAUAGUUAAUACUCCUACUUAUCAUAAAACAGUCUUAGAAUUCAGCAGCUGGAUUACAUAAUACUAUUAUAAUAAGCCUUUACUACUGAGUAACUUUACAUACAUAAUAUUUAUAUGCACAAGUAUUUGAGAGCUUAUAGGUCAAGCCCUGUGCUAAGUACUUUGUACCCAUGAUCUGAUAGAACCCUUAUAACACCUUGAUGAGAUGGAGCCAUUUUCUACACACUACACACGAUGAAACCAGCACAGGAAAUCAGAUAACUUGCCUGCUCUUGGCCACCACGCAGUGCGCUGCUGCUUUGUGUUUUAUGGGAAAUUGCACAUGGCAAACAUUCAAACAUAGGCUUCCUGCCUUUAUUAUUAAAGGGCAAAUGUGGGUAAGGAGGGUAGCAUGGGGCUUGAUUUGUUCAAUGACCUAAAAAUAAACUGAACUUAUUCAUACCCUGCCUUGUUCUAGGAAAGUAUUCUAGUGGCUUUUCAGCAGAGGGCAGGGCAAGGAACAGGUGCUCAGGAAUCGGAGCAUCUGGCACGCAGGGCCCCACUGCACUCUGAGGGGCUUCACUCUCCUCAGACACGAAGUCAUGGAGCCAGAGCUUAUCUCCUAAGUCCCUCACAGUUCUAAACUUUGACAAUUAAGUUAACGUCCUCCAUUGACAUUUUCUUAAAACCUGGGUGGUUUGCAUAAUUCUACAUGUAUAAGAUAUCUGUGCAUAAUGUGACUUAGAAUAAUAUAAAAAAGGAUAAACCGAAAAAUAGGCUUAGAUAAAAGACUGGAAAGAUACACAUCAAAACAUUAAUUCUGACUUGUCUUUGGUUAUUAUUGUUUUGGGAAUUACUACUUAAAUUUGCUUACUUAUAUUUUCUAAAUACUGUGCAAUGGGUGGGAAAUGAAAAGCAAGUGUUUAGGUAUAAAAAUAUAUGAGACAUAUCCAAAUCAGAGAUCCUAAAAGCAAAUUCAUACAAUAAUUGUUAAACUAAACUGAAAUACAAUAUAUUUUAAAUGACAAAGUU